CUCUCUCUCUUUGUUUUUUUCCAGUCUGAACCCCAACCAGAACCCUCAAAUCCUCCACUAAUUGUACUCAAAGUGGGGCAUUCGGGAAAUAAAACGCCAUCUGAAACAGGGGAGCAGGACCAUCUGCGGGAGCUUCUCUCAGGCGAAGAGCGGGCACAGUUGUAUAUGAGAAUGAGUUGAGAGAGCGAGAGAGCGAAGGGGCCUUAAAAGACAACGGCGAUUAUGGCUUGGAAUAUGCUAGAUCGAAAAAGAGGCGACAUUCUUAUCUGUUAAAGCAAACGGCUUUUCUUCUUCUCAUCCUUUUCUCUUUUUCCUCCCUUAAAUCGGAGGCAGAUCAUUGAAGACACACCCACCAUUGCCCUCUGCGAUCCCACCCAUCAAGUGGUUGCCCUCAUGCUUGACAUCGGAGCUCGUUUUCAUCAUUAGAAUUCGAGAAGAGAGAGAAGAGCGAGGGAUGGGGUGAAAUUGAGGGGCGGGAUGGUCGAAGGGGCUGAAGGAGGGCUUAAGGUCUCUAUUUUUGUUGCUCCUGUCAAGAAUCACAAUUUGCAGUUACAUAGGAAUUUGAGCUGUUGGGGACAUUGGAUUUACAGUUUUUUGUCCUUUGACUUAGUAAUUUUAGUUUCUGAAAUUUAAGUAGACAAAAGCUUUAGAAUGGCUGAUUUUAGAGCUAGAAGGCUUGAACCGGGUCAGACGAAGUUCAGAAAUGUUCCCAUUGCGGUGACUCCGGAAGGGUUCUGGUGUUGCCCUUCUCCUGCUGUACUUCAAAAGACUCUCAAAAAUCAUAAUCAUCAAAAUAAACAAAAGGGGUCACCACCACCAUUGAAGGAUCCUUCGCUUCAGAAGGCUCCAACUCCCCCAACAGAAAAUAUACCACUUCCUAACCAGUUAAGAUCUAGGGCUGUUUUGGAUGAUCAGAGAUGUAUGACCCCGGAUGCUUCUGCUGCAAGUCCAACAAAAGCUCCUGAGAGGCCACCGAAACCAAAUGGUGAGAACCAAAAACGAAAGAUAUGUGUUGGAUUCGGUCAGCCCGAGACCAGUGAUUUGAAAGUCAUUUUGUUCGGAAAGGAAGGGAUUGCUGUGAGGAUAGGUGUUCACAGGAACAUUCUUGCAGAACAUAGCAGCUUCUUUGCAGAUAAGCUCUCUAGACAGUCUCCCGUACCAUAUAUUGAAAUAAUGGACUGUGAGGAUGUCGAGAUUUAUGUUGAGACUGUGGGAUUGAUGUACUGUAAAGAAGUGAAACACAGAUUGAUCAAGCAAAGUGUUCCACGUGUACUCCGCAUUCUAAAGGUUGCAGAAUCACUUGGCUACCGUUCGUGCAUCAAAUCAUGCUUAGAUUUCCUGGAAGCAGUCCCUUGGGUUGGAGAAGAAGAAGAAAAUGUGGUAAUAUCUAUCCGACAUCUUCAGAAUGAUAAUUAUGGAGUCAAUCCUAUACUGAAACGAGUAUCUUCUGAUAUCUCCAAUCCUCCUAAUGAUACACUUGCUCGUAUAUUGGAGCUGGUCCUCAAAAGCAACGAGGAUCGAGGUCGGCGAGAGAUGAAAUCCUUAGUGUUGAAGCUUUUGAAGGAAAAUAGUCUUUGGACCAAUGGAUCUGCAGAUAUAUGCAUUGAAACUUUAUACAGUUCAUGCCACAACUGCUUAGACUCGCUAUUAGCUCUUUUCAGAGAAGCAUCUGAACCUGGUUUUGCAGAUAAAUCUUUGGAAAGCAAAGAUCCUGUUGUUCGGCAGAUAGCUCUCGGGGCAGAUAAUCUUCUUUGGUUAGUUGAGAUUUUGGCUGACAGGCAUAUAGCAGGUGAGUUUGCAGUGAUGUGGAGUAGCCAGAAUGAGCUAUCUGAAUUACACUCAAAGCUACCAAUUGUGUCACGUCACCCAGUGAGCUGCAUCACAGCUAGGCUUUUUGUUGCAAUUGGAAGAGGAGAGGUGCUUCCAUCAAUGGACACUCGCCAGCUGCUGUUACAUGUUUGGUUGCAGCCGCUUAUUGAUGACUACAGUUGGUUACAGCAUGUAUGUAGAUCAUUUGAUCGAAAGGUUGUGGAGGAAGGAAUUGGUCAAACCAUUCUUACACUUCCUUUGGAAGAUCAGCAGAAUAUUUUGCUCUCAUGGUUCGGAAGUUUCUUAAAGGUUGGCGAUAACUGCCCAAAUCUUCAGAGAGCCUUUGAGGUCUGGUGGAGGAGGACUUUCAUAAGGCCAUAUGUUGAACAGCAGGGAAACCUUGCGCAAUCAGCUAGAAGUUGACCUAGAGUUGGACAAGAAGAUAGAAAUGAGUCCAUCUUAUUUGCGUAAUGUCGGUUGCAUAAUGGAUGGCAUGAGAGCAAAAAAGAACUUUCUAUUGAGAUUUGAAGAUUGGAGAGGGAAAUGCUUUUAGAUUUGGAUGCACUGUACACUGUUUUGGUGGUGGACAGUGCCAGCAUGUUCAUGAUGCUAGUGACAUAUAAAUGGGAUACUUCAAAGACAUGCAGGUCUUUUGCUUGCUUCAGGUUACUCAAGGACCCUCCUCUUUGGCUUGUGUAUGACAAAUUUCUUCUCUUGGUGGCGCGCACCCACUUCAUGCAAGCAGAAGAAAGGGCUUGUAGGGUUGGGAUAUUGGACUUGGAUGAUCAUCCUAAUAUAUGACUGGUCUGUCAUCUUCUUGUGGGCCUACAACUUUGUUAACUUAAAGCCUCAACGUAGCAAAAGAACUUUGCAAACAAUAAUUUUCCAUAUAGAUGAUGGCACUGUGCAUCUUUCCAGGUUUGGAUCAA
RNA transcript from Phoenix dactylifera (date palm), 2738 nucleotides. It is a transcript of the gene named BTB/POZ domain-containing protein At3g50780-like, with no coding region annotated. The record is from RefSeq and is a predicted model, not a curated record. Lineage: Eukaryota; Viridiplantae; Streptophyta; Magnoliopsida; Arecales; Arecaceae.